GAGAUCCGAGAGUGGUCCGAGAAUGGGACCUAAUUUAAAGGAAUCAGUAUUUUUGGACACCUCACGGGCAAAGAAACGCUAGAAAAAGGGCACGCGUCAAUUAGAAGCGCGAGGCGUCAGUCAAGGGCGGGCGUGAUGGAGGCGGGGUUUGUCACAGAGGAACGGGUUGUCCCGGGGCGUCAGUCUAGUCUUUAUUUU
Cucurbita moschata (crookneck pumpkin) is the source of this 198-nucleotide long non-coding RNA. RefSeq lists it as uncharacterized. The record is from RefSeq and is a predicted model, not a curated record. The transcript is spliced from 3 exons. Lineage: Eukaryota; Viridiplantae; Streptophyta; Magnoliopsida; Cucurbitales; Cucurbitaceae.